AAAAUAUAUUAAAAAAAAUGAACAUAAGAAUAUAUAUAUACACAUAUAGUCUCUAUAGAAGAAUAUACAUUUUCCCCCAUCACUAUAGGCAGCAUCACACAUGGCACUCAUUGCUUUCUUAAAAAAGGGAUGGUACAAAAGAACAUUUCUAUUCUUAGCAGCUUGAGAUUUUCCAUCCUUUCCAAGCUCUCUUUUUUCUGUGGGCACAUAAGCAUAUUCAAAAUCAGUAACUUGGAGGUUGCUAUGAUGUUACUAAAGAGAGGAGGCAAGUGAAAAUGGGAGUGGGGAGGGAGUGGAAAGAACUCCACAAACACAAAUAUUACAUUAAAAUUGGGAAAACAAUUUGAUAACUUAAAGUGGAACAGAGAGAAACAACUUUUUAAGAGGCACCUAAAUAAGUUUUCCUAAGGGUAUCAACAGAAGUGCUUGGAACGUCACCACAGAUCCCUAACCAAGUAAUAAAAACAAAACACUAGAGCUGCAAAGAGCUUCGGAAAUCAGACAGUCCUACAUCUUUAUGAAUGAGAAGCCUGAGAUCCAAUGGGGAUGAAAUGUUUUACUCUAAGGGAAGAUACAUGUGGCAGAUAGAACCCAAAGCCCCUAAAACCAAGCCGUUGCCCGAACACCAUUGCACAUACAUUAUAUUAAUGACAUGCUGUCGAGUGGGAGGUUCAAGGAAAGUUGCCUAGAGAGUUCCCAUUCAUUCUUUUCCUCAACAGUUAUUCAGCACCUCCUACAUUCCAGGCACACUGCUGAGGAUGAAGUUGAUCCUGCCAGGGCCAAGAUCCGAGAGUGAAAUGGGCGCUUCCUCCCCACGUCCGAUCAUUUAACGGGUGAAAACAAUCUAGGUUUGACCGGGCUUUCCCACGUCUUGCCCCUAUGCGCUAAGAGAGCUGCAAUUUCCCUGAGAAGACGCGCCAGGUUAACACGCGGCAACCGGGAGGGGUUUUCAGAGAGUAGGGUGUGCGAUACAAACUGAAGACAGUAAAAUGUAAUGAAACUUCUCACUUUAAAAAGGGAUGUUAUUUCCCAAAUGAGAGCUCUGAACUUUUUAAAUGGCCCCAAAAAUACCGGAGCCCAGGCGCCGGGCUCGCGCGAGCCCGAAAGAACACCGCCAAGGCGGACGCUCAGCUCACCUUCCCGCCCGGAGUAUCAGGAGGCCCGGGAUUCUGUGUGUGCGAACACAUCUUCCGGUUCCCGCCGGAAGUUUUUCAAACGCCGGAAGUCCCGCCUGGCUCGCCGUAAAGGCGCCGGGCUCCCAGAGCAGGGUGGAGCCAAGCUGAGCGGAGGCGGGGCUAGAGCAAGGAUUCCCUGGGAGCUGUGGGAUGGGGCCCGCGGGAUGGGGCCCGCGGGAUGGGGCCCGCCCAGGGCUGGGAGCCGAGUUCCACUUACCCGGAUCUGGCGGAGGCAGCUUGGGGGAGGCUCCGGUCAAGAUGGCGGAAAAGAGGGGCGCUCCCGGCCUCCCACAAAUACAUAAAAAAUACAUCUACUUGUAGAACACUUCUCACAGGAUACCUCUUGAACGCUGGCAGAAAAUCUCAAACACCAAAAACCGCAAGAAAGCUCUCCACUUAACCAGGUAGGACAAAAGAAAAAAAAGUAAUUUCAAGCAGCUUGGUACACUGCCAAGCACACUAACUUGUAAACCUGGUUUUCAGAGGAACUCCCUAGUGCACUGGGCAAAUGCUUUAUGAGUUUAUUUCCACAGCCUAGCCCUCCAUCUCACUCCUUACCCGAUACGGUACACCACAAAUGUUAAGGGUGAAUACUCUCUGAAUUAAUUUACUUGAGGCAAAUUCAGGUCCCCUUUAUCUAACCUUCUUGGGCAAGAAUGGGAAAAAAAAAAUUUUUUUGACUGCACCCAUUGCAUGUAGAAGUUCCCAGGUCAGUGGUCAAACCCAGGCCACAGCAGUGACAAUUCUUCCAUACCCAACUUAAAAGCUAGA
Molecule: long non-coding RNA, 1946 nt
Filed under: Sus scrofa (pig)
Lineage: Eukaryota; Metazoa; Chordata; Mammalia; Artiodactyla; Suidae
Description: lncRNA (ENSSSCG00055016140.1)
Source: RNAcentral